RNAcentral lists this ribosomal RNA (96 nucleotides) under Photobacterium ganghwense. RNAcentral's name for it is "partial 16S ribosomal RNA". It matches the Rfam family "Bacterial small subunit ribosomal RNA", at positions 1446 to 1533 of the family's 1533-position model. The record is from RNAcentral. RNAcentral also lists the same sequence under 1 other name. Lineage: Bacteria; Pseudomonadati; Pseudomonadota; Gammaproteobacteria; Vibrionales; Vibrionaceae.
GAGGGCGUUUACCACGGUGUGGUUCAUGACUGGGGUGAAGUCGUAACAAGGUAGCCCUAGGGGAACCUGGGGCUGGAUCACCUCCUUACCUAAAGA